UAGAAUUCCUUUCAGUAGCACCUUAGAGACCAACUAAGUUUGUUAUUGGUAUGAGCUUUCGUGUGCAUGCACACUUCUUCAGAUACACACCAACUAAGUUUGUUAUUGGUAAGUUUGUUAUUGCAUGCACACGAAAGCUCAUACCAAUAACAAACUUAGUUGGUCUCUAAGGUGCUACUGGAAGGAUUUUUUC
Podarcis lilfordi (Lilford's wall lizard) is the source of this 193-nucleotide non-coding RNA. NCBI's taxonomy places the organism in Eukaryota, Metazoa, Chordata, Lepidosauria, Squamata, Lacertidae. The record is from the annotation of a GenBank genome assembly.